Molecule: microRNA precursor, 96 nt
Filed under: Musa acuminata subsp. malaccensis (wild Malaysian banana)
Lineage: Eukaryota; Viridiplantae; Streptophyta; Magnoliopsida; Zingiberales; Musaceae
Description: mir-172 microRNA precursor family
Rfam family: mir-172 microRNA precursor family
About the family: mir-172 has been experimentally verified in Arabidopsis thaliana.
Source: Rfam by way of RNAcentral
AUGUUUGCGGGUGUAGCAUCAUCAAGAUUCACAUGAGUCGGGCGGCCGCGUUACGAUUGCAAGUGAGAAUCUUGAUGAUGCUGCAUCGGCAAUAAG